Molecule: ribosomal RNA, 292 nt
Filed under: uncultured bacterium
Lineage: Bacteria
Description: partial 16S ribosomal RNA
Rfam family: Bacterial small subunit ribosomal RNA
Source: RNAcentral
GUGCCAGCAGCCGCGGUAAUACGUAGGCAGCAAGCGUUGUUCGGAGUUACUGGGCGUAAAGAGUGCGUAGGCGGUCCUCUAAGUUCGGUGUGAAAUCUCCCGGCUCAACUGGGAGGGUGCGCCGGAAACUGGAGGGCUUGAGUAUGGGAGAGGAAAGCGGAAUUCCUGGUGUAGCGGUGAAAUGCGUAGAUAUCAGGAGGAACACCUGUGGUGUAGACAGCUUUCUGGACCAUGACUGACGCUGAGGCACGAAAGCGUGGGUAGCAAACAGGAUUAGAUACCCUUGUAGUCC